AGAGUUUGAUCCUGGCUCAGGAUGAACGCUGGCGGCAUGCCUAAUACAUGCAAGUCGAACGAGGAUCCUUGUGGAUCCUAGUGGCGAACGGGUGAGUAACACGUAGGGAACCUGCCCGCGCACCGGGAAUACGCUCUGGAAACGGAGAACAAAUCCCGAUGUACAGGAAGGAGGCAUCUUCUUUCUGUGAAACAUCCUGUAAGGGAUGGGGCGCGGAUGGACCUGCGGUGCAUUAGUUGGUUGGCGAGGGUAAAGGCCCACCAAGACGAUGAUGCAUAGCCGGCCUGAGAGGGCGGACGGCCACAUUGGGACUGAGACACGGCCCAGACUCCUGCGGGAGGCAGCAGUAGGGAAUUUUCGUCAAUGGGCGCAAGCCUGAACGAGCGAUGCCGCGUGAGUGAAGAAGGCCUUCGGGUCGUAAAGCUCUGUUGCGGGGGAAAAAAGGCAUCUGCAGGAAAUGGUAGAUGACAGAUGGUGCCCCGCCAGAAAGUCACGGCUAACUACGUGCCAGCAGCCGCGGCAAUACGUAGGUGGCGAGCGUUAUCCGGAAUGAUUGGGCGUAAAGGGUGCGCAGGCGGUCCUGCAAGUCUGGAGUGAAACGUAUGAGCUCAACUCAUGCAUGGCUCUGGAAACUGGAGGAC
RNAcentral lists this ribosomal RNA (641 nucleotides) under uncultured bacterium. Its description in RNAcentral is "bacterial SSU rRNA". It matches the Rfam family "Bacterial small subunit ribosomal RNA", at positions 8 to 641 of the family's 1533-position model. The record is from RNAcentral.